GCGCUAAUGAGAGAUUCUACAGUUUCUUCAAGACCAAACAUACUCGAAGACUUACCAAGAGUGACGAGACAUCUAAGCUAGAGAUGAAGUACUUUCAGAGAAAGGCCAUGGUGUCUUCACUCUAGCUUCUUUUGACAAAGGUGAUUUUGUGGCUGGGUACCAAGGAGAAAUAAUUGAUUUCAUUGAAUCUCAGAAAAGAAGAAGAAUUUACCAUGAUGCAUGUGGUGUAUUUGUUUGACUUCCUUUGAAAGGGAAAAACACGGUGUAUUGAUGCUGCAAAAGAAGAUGGAUCUUUUGGUAGGCUCAUUAAUCAUAACCACAAGCACCCAAAUUGCAGAAUGAAGAAGAUUGAAUGGAUGGGAGGCCACAUCUUUGUCUGUUUGCUUUAAAAGACAUUAAAGAAGGGCAGGAAAUUACCUAUGAUUAUGGAGGAACAGACUGGCCUUGGCGUAGGAAGUCUGCAGGUUAUGGAGGACAACCCUGCUGAGAACAAUGUCCAAGAGAAACAGCAGCCAUCACAGUCUACAUCUCUUCUGGAUCGUAAUAGUGCUACUAGUGCAUCAGUGACCGAACAGUGUACUAAAUCUCUUGAAGACCCAGACCUGGACAGCUGCCCUCCCAGACCACUGCCUCAGAGACACAGACGACCACUCCAACCGCACGCGUCUACACCCCAACCAUCCACAGCAGCUGAGCGGGACCCUCCUCCCUGUUAUGCGGGACCUGGAGCCACUAUGCCUUACUCCCCUGUGUGCUAUCACACCUGUGGCCGAAAGCAAAAGGGGAUUCAGAAGGAAAUGAGACCAGAUAAUCCAAUUUCCAACACAUUCAAUGGACAUGACUAAAAUCUCUAUGUGCAGACAAGAAGAUGACGAAACAGUCUCUAGAUAUUUUGCACGAUUAACAGAAGUGCAUGAUCCUCACCAUGGUCUCGAGCGCCCAGUGUACUUGGCCACAGCGGAUAUUACACCCUAUGAGGCACACUUGAGAAAGUUUCAUGAAUGGAUUAAAAGACGACAUUGCAGCAAUAGUCAAACAAACAUGCAUUACUUGGGACACUGGAAAGUUAUCUCUGAAUGAACAACAUGCUGUGCACGCAGAAAAGUUGUGGAAUGUUGCAAGACAAAAAGAGAAAGAAACCCUGGAUUCCAGAGUGGAUGUUUCCUGUGUGGAAAAACAGACCACUGGAUACGAGACUGUCCGAAGAGACAUCGCAGGGGAGAAGCGAACACAGAAGCAUGAGGUUUGGUUGGGUCAGGGACGGGUGAGUAGCCAGGGAAGGGUAAGUCUGAUCUUUUUGUGCAAUUCAAUGAAGAAAAGCUUAAGCUAACUGUUCCAUUUCCACCUGUCACUAAUACAGUGUCUAGCAAAGUAUCAGGGGUUGCUAUUACACCUAUGAAUGAAACUUAGGCUAAAUAUCAUGAACUGGAAUUUAAGAAAAUGCCUGUGAUUACGUUAAUUGUUUAGCAGUUUCUAGUUGACUCAGGAGCAGGGCGUUCUGUGAUAUGAUUGUGUGAAUUUUCUGUUUCACCUAGAAUGAGCUACACAGAGUCACUCUCUGUGUACUACAAGGAGCAUUCAGGGAUGUCAGUAAUUGAGACAUUCUCUGUGCCCUUAAAAUGUGAAAUUGUAACUACACAAACAAUUUGAAUUCUCUUUUUAAAUCUCUGAGUGUUGCCCAAUAAAUCUGUUGGGUCGAGAUUUGAUGUGCAAACUAAAUUUAAAUCUGAUCAGCACAUCACUAGGCCUUAGGAUAGAAUAGGAAGAUAACUACUGCUUUGUAAAAUAUGAUCCCAGACCCCUGCUCUGUGUAUGAAUGGAAACUGAGUAAUUCCUCUCUCACUGAACCACAUGAGCGUCAUGAGAAAGAAUGGUACAGGAAGUUAGAUAGGCCAGACCUACUGAUAUUGAAGUGUAGGGUAUGGAAUGAACACAGAUGUGCUGUACAGUUGUGGCAUUUAAGAAUGCAUGUUAGAGGGACAGGAAUCCCACAAAAAUCUUAAGAUUCUACAAAUGCGCUCUUCAACUUACACACUUGUUUUGAGUGUAAUGGAUAAAACAUAUUGUGCCUAAAAGCUAUUUUAAGCCAUUGUUAUAAUAUUAUAGCAAUAUGUAAAAAUUUGUUCAUGGACUGGUCAAAUAGUUUUUACAUCAUAAGCGUUUGAUCGUUACAGUAGCGCACAUAUUAUCUUGUCACGUUUACAGUAUAUAUUCUCUAAAACACUUCUAAAUAUGAAAUAUAUCUAUCUAUCUGAACAUGGUCUUUAACAAUCACUGCGGCAUCUCACUCCUGCUGCUAUGUACUGUGAACUCGUGCGCUCUGAAGCUCGCCGGACCAAACAAGCAGAUACGUGUCCGCUGACUUUUGUUACUUAAGGGUCGGUGCAAGUUUUUGAUUUGAUAUCUUUUAUUAGCUGAUUUUUAAGAAAUGUAAAACUUCUGUCAGGGAAACCUGUUUGAUGUCUGUAAGCAAAGACCUAUCCACACCUAUUCACAUUUAUUUGGUGAAAAACUAUAAGUCCACCUAGAGUAUAAAUUUUAAUAAAAUAACAUUUAGUAAAAUUAAUACACGGAUGCUACAGUAUUGGGACAAUAAAAACUUUCCCUUACCGACCCCUAACCCUACCCAGUAAAUACUUUAUUCUUAAUAAAGACUCGAUAGACUCGAUAAGGAUCGUUUGAUCCUUAUCUGCAAUUAUCUUGUCAUGUUCAUAUUUUUGUCUAAAACGCAUCUAAAAAUGAAAUAUAUCUACAGUGAACAUGUUAAAUAAAAAAAAUGGAAUGUAUGUCCCACAAAGCAGAAGCUUCUGCCUAAUAUAAGUUAUGUGAUUCUCACGAAUUUCAAACAUGAAAAUAUUAAAAAUGCUUUUUUUUUCAGACAUUAAGAACAAAGUCUGGAGUAUUUGUGCACAUUAAUUUAAAAACUUUUACUUAUCAUUUAGCACCUUUUUGAACAUAAUUUCCAAAAUAAGUCCUAAAAAAUCUCAUUACCACAACACUGUGAAAACAUUAACAUUGAUAGAAAAGCAAAUACAUUUUCACAGUUUUAAAAAUGGAUUAUUAAGUCAUGCACAGUUACUUCAAGUUCUGAAAUAAUAUUUAUUUUUAAUUUAACAGUUUUUAAAAUUUUGACUGAUUUCUCUCUACCACAACACCUUCCACAAUUUACCAUUUUACCAAAUUACCAAUAACCAUUUUUUCUUUAUAUUUUGAAGAAACCUGACAUUUUUUCAAAAUGACAUGACAAACCUGAGAGAACAUAAUUUUAAGAUUCUGCACAUGCAUCUAAAAUCAAAGUA
Long non-coding RNA from Hemibagrus wyckioides, 3299 nucleotides. RefSeq lists it as uncharacterized. Lineage: Eukaryota; Metazoa; Chordata; Actinopteri; Siluriformes; Bagridae. The transcript has 6 exons. The record is from RefSeq and is a predicted model, not a curated record.